CCACUCCGCCUAGGACUACGAGCGCUAGCUUGAACCUAAGGACUUGGCGGUAUCUCGAACCUCCUAGAGGAGCCUGUCCUAGCACCGAUAACCCCCGUUUAACCUCACCACUACUUGCCAACCCAGCCUAUAUACCGCCGUCGACAGCUUUCCCCCCAGGGCCGAAUAGCAAGCAAGACAGACCCUAAACCUAACACGUCAGGUCGAGGUGUAGCGCACUGUAGUGGGAAGAGAUGGGCUACACUCCCUGCCUCAGGGACCACGAAGAGGGCCCUGAAAUUGGGCUCUUGAAGGAGGAUUUAGCAGUAAAGAGGAACUAGAGCGUCCUUUUGAAGAAGGCCUUGAGAUGCGUACACAUCGCCCGUCACUCUCA
Molecule: ribosomal RNA, 373 nt
Filed under: Cyclothone pygmaea
Lineage: Eukaryota; Metazoa; Chordata; Actinopteri; Stomiiformes; Gonostomatidae
Description: partial 12S ribosomal RNA
Rfam family: Bacterial small subunit ribosomal RNA
Source: RNAcentral